CACUGGGGAUUGCUAUACUUUGUAUACUCCCCUGAGCUCUAAUCACUUAGCUCUUUUAAGAGCUGUUCCUGAUACCCUCUCCUGGAGAAGAGGUCUUUCACACAUGGUCCUGGAGGACAGAGGCUGAUCCAGCGUGGAGGGAAGACGGCGAGACUCCAGUUAAGCUACGGCGGUUGUGGACUCUGUGGUGGUUGUGGUGUCCGGUGCGGUGCUUGUGGUCCUCGGCGCAAGCUUUGAAGCGUCUGUCAAAUGAAGGUACUCGGUCAGAGUACAGGUGAU
This is a non-coding RNA of Pelobates cultripes (western spadefoot toad), 279 nucleotides long. NCBI's taxonomy places the organism in Eukaryota, Metazoa, Chordata, Amphibia, Anura, Pelobatidae. The record is from the annotation of a GenBank genome assembly.